GAUGAACGCUGGCGGCGUGCCUAAUACAUGCAAGUCGAGCGAACAGACGAGGAGCUUGCUCCUCUGACGUUAGCGGCGGACGGGUGAGUAACACGUGGAUAACCUACCUAUAAGACUGGGAUAACUUCGGGAAACCGGAGCUAAUACCGGAUAAUAUAUUGAACCGCAUGGUUCAAUAGUGAAAGACGGUUUUGCUGUCACUUAUAGAUGGAUCCGCGCCGCAUUAGCUAGUUGGUAAGGUAACGGCUUACCAAGGCGACGAUGCGUAGCCGACCUGAGAGGGUGAUCGGCCACACUGGAACUGAGACACGGUCCAGACUCCUACGGGAGGCAGCAGUAGGGACUCUUCCGCAAUGGGCGAAAGCCUGACGGAGCAACGCCGCGUGAGUGAUGAAGGUCUUCGGAUCGUAAAACUCUGUUAUUAGGGAAGAACAAAUGUGUAAGUAACUAUGCACGUCUUGACGGUACCUAAUCAGAAAGCCACGGCUAACUACGUG
RNAcentral lists this ribosomal RNA (497 nucleotides) under uncultured bacterium. RNAcentral's name for it is "partial 16S ribosomal RNA". It matches the Rfam family "Bacterial small subunit ribosomal RNA", at positions 28 to 507 of the family's 1533-position model. The record is from RNAcentral.